AUUGAACGCUAGCGGGAUGCCUUACACAUGCAAGUCGAACGGCAGCGCGGACUUCGGUCUGGCGGCGAGUGGCGAACGGGUGAGUAAUGUAUCGGAACGUGCCCAGUAGCGGGGGAUAACUACUCGAAAAAGUAGCUAAUACCGCAUACGCCCUACGGGGGAAAGGGGGGGAUCGCAAGACCUCUCACUAUUGGAGCGGCCGAUAUCGGAUUAGCUAGUUGGUGAGGUAAAGGCUCACCAAGGCGACGAUCCGUAGCUGGUUUGAGUGGACGACCAGCCACACUGGGACUGAGACACGGCCCAGACUCCUACGGGAGGCAGCAGUGGGGAAUUUUGGACAAUGGGGGCAACCCUGAUCCAGCCAUUCCGCGUGUGCGAUGAAGGCCUUCGGGUUGUAAAGCACUUUUGGCAGGAAAGAAAUCGCACGGAUUAAUACUCUGUGUUGAUAACGGUACCUGCAGAAUAAGCACCGGCUAACUACGUGCCAGCAGCCGCCGUAA
Molecule: ribosomal RNA, 500 nt
Filed under: uncultured bacterium
Lineage: Bacteria
Description: partial 16S ribosomal RNA
Rfam family: Bacterial small subunit ribosomal RNA
Source: RNAcentral